GAAAUGCGAGAAGUAAUGUGAAUUGCAGAAUUCAGUGAAUCAUCGAAUCUUUGAACGCACCUUGCGCUCCUUGGUAUUCCUUGGAGCAUGCCUGUUUGAGUAUCAUGAAAUCUUCAAAGUAAAUCUUUUGUUAACUCAAUUGGUUUCUACUUUGGUAUUGGAGGUCUUUGCAGCUUCACACCUGCUCCUCUUUGUUCAUUAGCUGGAUCUCAGUGUUAUGCUUGGUUCCACUCGGCGUGAUAAGUUAUCUAUCGCUGAGGACACUGUAAAAGGUGGCCAAGGUAAAUGCAGAUGAACCGCUUCUAAUAGUCCAUUGACUUGGACAAUACUUUUAUGAUCUGAUCUCAAAUCAGGUAGGACUACCCGCUGAACUUAAGC
Molecule: unclassified non-coding RNA, 378 nt
Filed under: plant metagenome
Description: partial contains 5.8S ribosomal RNA, internal transcribed spacer 2, and large subunit ribosomal RNA
Rfam family: 5.8S ribosomal RNA (bases 1-105)
Source: RNAcentral